CCCGCUGCCCGCCCCGCCACCCGGGCUUGUGCGGACGUGUCUCGGGCGUGACCUUUGAGCAGCUGCGCCACCGGCUCAGCCUCGCGGCGGGGGAAACCCGAGCUCCCAACAAAACGGUUCCAUCUUUGGCUAGGCCUUUGAUGUUAUGUGGUCAACAGGGACUGAGGCUCUUUAAGCCCUUAAAUCUCUAAGGGCUAAAUCUCCUUCCUGAUAUUCGCCCCCAAACCGGCACCAAAGAAGGCCCAGAGAGGUUUAACAACUUCCUCAGAAUCACACAGCUUCCAAAUGGUUGGGUUGGGUUUACAUUUAGGCGGUCUUGCUCCAGAGCCAGUGCUCCUAACCUUUGCAAGCCACGAACCUCAAGAAAGUGGAGAAGGAAACGCUGGGAAAUCUGGAAGUCAGACAUGGCAAGUUUUUCUCACUGUAAGAAGAGGACAAUAGCCUAUGAUCUACAGUGCCCAUUCCAACUCAGAGAAUCUUUACAUCUGGAGAUCUAUAGCAGGGCUAUCCCUAGUGACAUGCGUGAAGAAGCUUGGAAAUGGUGCUGGGUAGGAGCUGAGUGUGCAGAAUGUGGAAAGGCAUUCUAAACCAAAGGAAGAACACGAGUAAAGAUGAUGAAGCAGGGAUAAGGCUAAAAUGAAAUUUGUGAUCUGAUCCACAUACAAGCACAGUGUAGUACAGCUGGAAUAUAGAGAAGAGCUUGAAGACUUAUGAGCAACUAUCCCGGUACUCUUGGAGGCUCUGCAACCACAGUUUGAGAAACUCCGCGUUCAAAGUUAAAAACUGUCACCUGAAUAGUUAAUAACAUCAAAGAUUGUGAAAGCAAGUAUAAAUAACACAGAGAUUAAAAUAAUGAGGCAGGAUCAGAAAGGAUUAUUUUCAGACCUCAUGAAGCUGCUGGCUUAUAGAACAGGAGUCUUUCUGUUGGCAGCCAGGAGAGAUACAAGAGGGGGAGGACAGAUUCUGCAGCUCCAUUUCGUCCUUGGAACAGGAGAAAGGGUUGGAAAACAAAGAUCACUUUUCUCUGGCCAAAUGGAAUCACCCAACAAAGUACCUUCCUGAUGGGCCAGCUAUUUCAGAUGAUGA
This is a long non-coding RNA of Homo sapiens (human), 1086 nucleotides long. Ensembl annotates it as long intergenic non-protein coding RNA 2028. NCBI's taxonomy places the organism in Eukaryota, Metazoa, Chordata, Mammalia, Primates, Hominidae. The record is from Ensembl.